UACAGAGGGGGCAAGCGUUAUUCGGAAUUAUUGGGCGUAAAGGGCGCGUAGGCGGCCUGGCAAGUGGAAGGUGAAAUCCCUCGGCUUAACCGAGGAACUGCCUCCCAAACUGCUUGGCUUGAGACCGGGAGAGGUGAGUGGAAUUCCCAGUGUAGCGGUGAAAUGCGUAGAUAUCUGCAGGAACACCCGUGGCGAAAGCGGCGCGCUGGACCACUACUGACGCUGAGGAACGAAAGCUAGGGGAGCAAACAGG
This 253-nucleotide ribosomal RNA is filed under the name uncultured bacterium. RNAcentral's name for it is "partial 16S ribosomal RNA". It matches the Rfam family "Bacterial small subunit ribosomal RNA", at positions 524 to 776 of the family's 1533-position model. The record is from RNAcentral.